UACGAAGGGGGCUAGCGUUGUUCGGAUUUACUGGGCGUAAAGCGCGUGUAGGCGGAUCGUUAAGUUGGGGGUGAAAUCCCGGAGCUCAACUCCGGAACUGCCUCCAAAACUGGCGAUCUGGAGCAGAGAAGAGGCGAGUGGAAUACCGAGUGUAGAGGUGAAAUUCGUAGAUAUUCGGUGGAACACCAGUGGCGAAGGCGACUCGCUGGUCUCUUGCUGACGCUGAGACGCGAAAGCGUGGGGAGCAAACAGG
Molecule: ribosomal RNA, 253 nt
Filed under: uncultured bacterium
Lineage: Bacteria
Description: partial 16S ribosomal RNA
Rfam family: Bacterial small subunit ribosomal RNA
Source: RNAcentral